GACGUAGGGACCGAGCGUUGUCCGGAGUUACUGGGCGUAAAGCGCGCGCAGGCGGAUCAUCGCAUCAUCGGUGAAAGCCCCCCGCUCAACGGGGGAGGGUCCGGUGAGAUGGGUGAUCUGGAGGCAGGGAGAGGCGAGUGGAAUUCCGGGUGUAGUGGUGAAAUGCGUAGAGAUCCGGAGGAACACCAGUGGCGAAGGCGGCUCGCUGGACCUGACCUGACGCUGAGGCGCGAAGGCGUGGGGAGCGAACGGGAUUAGAAACCCCCGUAGUCC
RNAcentral lists this ribosomal RNA (273 nucleotides) under uncultured bacterium. RNAcentral's name for it is "partial 16S ribosomal RNA". It matches the Rfam family "Bacterial small subunit ribosomal RNA", at positions 524 to 796 of the family's 1533-position model. The record is from RNAcentral.